CAUAGAUUGAAAAAUGUCAGAAAAUUAUACUAAAAUUGUAUCUAUAUGUAAUCUGGAAAAAAGACAAAAUUAAAAAAAAGGUCCAAAAGUUGAAUAGUAAAGGCCAUCCUGUCCUGCAUCCCCUGGGGUUCUUUGGCCAAGGGUGCAAAUGCUAUCUCUCCCUUCCCUGAUCCUCACUCCCCUAGAAGAUUUCUACAUUCCUGGAGUGCUUCAGUUUUCUCAUCUGUAAAGUGAGCUGGAGACAGAAAUGGCGAACCACAUCAAUAUCUUUACCAAGAAACUCCCAAUGUAGUCAUGUAGCAUAAGACAUGACUAAAAUGGCUGAAUAACAAUUGUGUCCCAGGCAUUGGACUAAGAACUGAGGAGAUGAAAGAAAGGCAAAAAGUAGUCCCUGUCUUUGAAGAGCUUCUAGUCUAAUGGGAGAGACAAUCUGCAAAUAACGUUGUGCAAAUAAGACAAAGAGAGAUGGAAUUGGAGACAAUCUCAUUGGAAAAAAUGUUUCUUGCAAGAAGGUGAGACUUUAAUUUCCAUUAUCAGCAUUCUCAUUGAAGAGAUCAUAUGAUAAUGAAUCUGAAGAUGUAAGAGAUUCCAGAAGUGAUCUAGUCCAAUUCCUUUAUUUUGCAGAGGUGGGAAACUAAGGUCCAUAUAAAAAUAAUUGUUCUUACAAAGUCAUACAGAACCCAGCUCAAGUCUCUUUAACUCCAAAUCUAGAGCUUUUCCUAUUAUAUCUAUUACCUUGCCCAUCUAUCACACACUCAG
This 759-nucleotide long non-coding RNA is filed under the name Monodelphis domestica (gray short-tailed opossum). Its description in RNAcentral is "lncRNA (ENSMODG00000043081.1)". Lineage: Eukaryota; Metazoa; Chordata; Mammalia; Didelphimorphia; Didelphidae. The record is from RNAcentral.